GAGGAAGGGGCAAGUGUAGGAGGACAGGACCCCAGGCAGGGAGGGAAAGUCCAGGUCCAGCCUGGCCUGAAUUGCUGCCCCCUUUUCCCUGCACUGCCUCUUCCCUGGCUGCUCCCAGACCUUGGAGGCCUCCCUUGCCUCU
Molecule: microRNA precursor, 142 nt
Filed under: Notamacropus eugenii (tammar wallaby)
Lineage: Eukaryota; Metazoa; Chordata; Mammalia; Diprotodontia; Macropodidae
Description: miRNA (ENSMEUG00000017424.1)
Source: RNAcentral